CCGGCAAUAGCUCAGUUGGUAGAGCGUCCGACUGUAGAUCGGAUGGUCCCUGGUUCGAUUCCGGGUUGCCGGA
Molecule: transfer RNA, 73 nt
Filed under: Macaca mulatta (Rhesus monkey)
Lineage: Eukaryota; Metazoa; Chordata; Mammalia; Primates; Cercopithecidae
Description: tRNA-Tyr (GTA) (tRNA-Tyr-GTA-25 1 to 3)
Rfam family: tRNA
About the family: Transfer RNA (tRNA) molecules are approximately 80 nucleotides in length. Their secondary structure includes four short double-helical elements and three loops (D, anti-codon, and T loops).
Source: RNAcentral